CACAGAGAGAGAGAGGGGGUCGACAUGGUAACACAGAGAGAGAGGGGGUCGACAUGGUACAAAGAGAGGGAAGAGGGGGUCGACAUGGUAACAGAGAGAGAGGGGGUCGACAUGGUAACAGAGAGAGAGGGGGUCGACAUGGUAACAGAGAGAGAGGGAAUCGACAUGGUAACAGAGAGAGAGGGGUCGACAUGGUAACAGAGAGAGAGGGGGUCGACAUGGUAACAGAGAGAGAGGGGGUCGACAUGGUAACAGAGAGAGAGAGGGGUUCGACAUGGUAACAGAGAGAGAGAGGGGGUCGACAUGGUAACAGAGAGAGAGAGGGGGUCGACAUGGUAACAGAGAGAGAGAGAGGGGGGUCGACAUGGUAACAGAGAGAGAGAGAG
RNAcentral lists this long non-coding RNA (386 nucleotides) under Salmo salar (Atlantic salmon). RNAcentral's name for it is "lncRNA (ENSSSAG00000119381.1)". Lineage: Eukaryota; Metazoa; Chordata; Actinopteri; Salmoniformes; Salmonidae. The record is from RNAcentral.